RNAcentral lists this ribosomal RNA (585 nucleotides) under uncultured bacterium. Its description in RNAcentral is "bacterial SSU rRNA". It matches the Rfam family "Bacterial small subunit ribosomal RNA", at positions 24 to 600 of the family's 1533-position model. The record is from RNAcentral.
UCAGAUUGAACGCUGGCGGCAGGCUUAACACAUGCAAGUCNAGCGGUAACAGGGGGUGCUUGCACCCCGCUGACNAGCGGCGGACGGGUGAGUAAUGCAUAGGAAACUGCCCAGUAGUGGGGGAUAGCCCGGGGAAACCCGGAUUAAUACCGCGUACGCCCUUCGGGGGAAAGCAGGGGCUCUUCGGACCUUGCGCUAUUGGAUGUGCCUAUGUCGGAUUAGCUAGUUGGUGGGGUAAAGGCCUACCAAGGCGACGAUCCGUAGCUGGUCUGAGAGGAUGAUCAGCCACAUCGGGACUGAGACACGGCCCGAACUCCUACGGGAGGCAGCAGUGGGGAAUAUUGGACAAUGGGGGCAACCCUGAUCCAGCCAUGCCGCGUGUGUGAAGAAGGCUUUCGGGUUGUAAAGCACUUUCAGUGAGGAGGAAGGCUUGAAGGUUAAUACCCUUCAGGAUUGACGUUACUCACAGAAGAAGCACCGGCUAACUCCGUGCCAGCAGCCGCGGUAAUACGGAGGGUGCAAGCGUUAAUCGGAAUUACUGGGCGUAAAGCGCGCGUAGGUGGUUUGAUAAGCGAGAUGUGAAAG